Molecule: unclassified non-coding RNA, 613 nt
Filed under: Paraphoma fimeti
Lineage: Eukaryota; Fungi; Ascomycota; Dothideomycetes; Pleosporales; Phaeosphaeriaceae
Description: sequence contains ITS1, 5.8S rRNA gene and ITS2
Rfam family: 5.8S ribosomal RNA (bases 253-406)
Source: RNAcentral
AACAAGGUUUCCGUAGGUGAACCUGCGGAAGGAUCAUUACCUUUCAGUACAGAAGCGUUGUGUUGGUUGAGUUGUGCCGGUUGAGUCUCGCUGACAAGUGGGAUUCCUGGUGGCAACUCCCUUCAUAAUUCUCCCUGUCUAUCAUCCUUGUCUUUUGCGUACUAUUGUUUCCUCGGUGGGCUUGCCCACCGGUUGGACAACCUUAUAACCUAUUUAAUUUUCAAUCAGCGUCUGAAAUAAUAUAAUAAUUACAACUUUCAACAACGGAUCUCUUGGUUCUGGCAUCGAUGAAGAACGCAGCGAAAUGCGAUAAGUAGUGUGAAUUGCAGAAUUCAGUGAAUCAUCGAAUCUUUGAACGCACAUUGCGCCCCUUGGUAUUCCAUGGGGCAUGCCUGUUCGAGCGUCAUUUGUACCCUCAAGCUUUGCUUGGUGUUGGGUGUUUGUCUUUUCCACGCGAUCAGACUCGCCUUAAAAUAAUUGGCAGCCAGUGUUUUGGUUUUGAAGCGCAGCACAAGUCGCGAUUCAGCUUAUAUCACUAGUUUCCAUUAAGCAUUUUAUCACUUUUGACCUCGGAUCAGGUAGGGAUACCCGCUGAACUUAAGCAUAUCAAUAA